Molecule: ribosomal RNA, 449 nt
Filed under: uncultured bacterium
Lineage: Bacteria
Description: bacterial SSU rRNA
Rfam family: Bacterial small subunit ribosomal RNA
Source: RNAcentral
GUGGGGAAUCUUGCGCAAUGGGCGAAAGCCUGACGCAGCGACGCCGCGUGGGUGAUGAAGGCCUUCGGGUUGUAAAGCCCUGUGGGGAGAGACGAAUAAGGAUGGGUGAACAGUCCAUUUGAUGACGGUAUCUCCUUAGCAAGCACCGGCUAACUCUGUGCCAGCAGCCGCGGUAAGACAGAGGGUGCAAACGUUGUUCGGAAUUACUGGGCGUAAAGCGCGUGUAGGCGGUUUAUCAAGUCGGGUGUGAAAUCCCUGGGCUCAACCUAGGAAGUGCAUUCGAUACUGGGAGACUUGAGUCUCGAAGAGGAUGGUGGAACUCUCGGUGUAGAGGUGAAAUUCGUAGAUAUCGAGAAGAACACCGGUGGCGAAGGCGGCCAUCUGGUCGGUGACUGACGCUGAGACGCGAAAGCGUGGGGAGCAAACAGGAUUAGAUACCCUGGUAGUCC